RNAcentral lists this long non-coding RNA (765 nucleotides) under Zea mays. Its description in RNAcentral is "long non-coding RNA (ZMAY_LNC004091)". The record is from RNAcentral. Lineage: Eukaryota; Viridiplantae; Streptophyta; Magnoliopsida; Poales; Poaceae.
AGGUUUUUAUGCUAUCGUUGUGAACUAUUUACGCUAUUUUGUGAACUAUUUACGCUAUUUGCGUAAAAAACAAAGCUAUAAUUUAUGGCUUGCAUCCCCCACGCGGGGGAUUUGGUGUUUGACCAGAGGUUUGAUUGACACGGGUGGGAAUGUUUGACCUAGUGCAUGGCAGCGGGACACGCCCGAGUGGCGGUCCUAGGCGAUGUUGGCGAGUGGCGGCCCGAGACGCAAGUGUCGUGGCGGCCGUGACGGCCCUAGGCGCGAGCAACGGUGGCCGUGUCUUCCCGAGGUGCGAGCGGUGGUGGCAACCGCGACCUCCCGAGGCGUGAUCGGUGGUGGUGGCGACGACGUUCCGAGGCACGAGCGGUGUUGGCUGCGGUGAACGUCUUUGGUGCAUCCAAAGACAACAAUCUCCUCCGAUGCGGCGCGUCGGAGGGCGUCCUCCUUCAACGACCACCUUCGAUCUGAUGGCGUGAUCGGUGGUGGAGGCGUCUUUGAUCUGGCGACCUCGGGAUCGUCCUCCGGUGACGAGCUAUCUGAUCCAUGUUUACGCCAUCAAUGAUUAUGGUUUAUGCCUGCUACUUACACUAUUUAUGCAUUUUAGUGACGAUUUUUACGAUGAUGAAUACAAUUUUUUUGUUUCCCAUAAAAUUGUCCCUAAUUACCACGGGGGCUGUUAGUUGAACCCAUAUUAGAUUUUUUUUAUCAAUGCUACAUGGUGUAUGUAUUUAUACGACUUUGUAUAAGAAUUUAUGCCCGCUGUGA